RNAcentral lists this non-coding RNA (219 nucleotides) under Bacillus smithii. RNAcentral describes it as "T-box sequence". It matches the Rfam family "T-box leader". From Rfam's summary of the family: Uncharged tRNA acts as the effector for transcription antitermination of genes in the T-box leader family. T-boxes are found upstream of many aminoacyl-tRNA synthetase genes and some amino acid biosynthetic genes usually in Gram-positive bacteria. Lineage: Bacteria; Bacillati; Bacillota; Bacilli; Caryophanales; Bacillaceae. The record is from RNAcentral.
AUAAAACCAAUGAGGGAGAAGAGUAGUUAAAAACGCAUGCAAAGAGAGGAAAUGCCUUGGGCUGAAAGCGUUUCUGCAUGGCUGUUUAACGAAAAACACUCCUUAGGUUUCCCUCUGAACUUUUAGUAGGAGGGAACGCAGAUGGCGUUAACGGACAAAGUGGGAGCAAUUUUCGCUCCAAUUAGGGUGGUACCACGGGAAUCUACUCUCGUCCCUUGU